Molecule: long non-coding RNA, 1736 nt
Filed under: Scleropages formosus (Asian bonytongue)
Lineage: Eukaryota; Metazoa; Chordata; Actinopteri; Osteoglossiformes; Osteoglossidae
Description: lncRNA (ENSSFOG00015030042.1)
Source: RNAcentral
CUUUCCAGGUUUUACCCUGGUAGGAUCCAGACCACCCUGGCCUUGACAAACAGUUUGGGAUAAUGGAAAUAGCCACUAUGUAGUCAAAAUGUUUUUGUGCCAGUCAUGAAAGGCAAGAAUUUUUACACACAAGGACAGCAAGUGAAUACUGUUCAUGCGCAGAAGCCUCCAAAUACAUAAAGCUGAUUUUCUUAUUGGUCUCAGUCUGUGCUGUGCAAAUGGUUUGGAGCUGAGUGAACACAGUGUAGCUGAUAAAUCAAGUGGCUUUUGGUAAUGUCCUCUCUGCACAUCAGUAAGCCUCACGCCAGGCUCAGGGGACUCCUGCUUGCUGACCACCACCACGCACUGUCGCUGGGCACAGCUAUUCAAACAAAAAUACUCUGUUUGUACUUGCAGGUACUGAGUGUAUUAAACCAGCCUUUCCAGAUGUACUACUUCUUGGUGUCCAUCAAUACAUCCCAUCCUGCACCGUGGGAGUUCUGCCCAGUGGACCCAGAAGCACGGUAACCCAGAGGACUCCCAGGUGACUUUGAUUCUGCCAUCAGUUCUAGCACCUCCAAAACUUCUUGUUUGUCCUUCCUAGACUUUCAUAACUUACAUGUGAGCAGUUCAUCAUGGAGAAUUAAAGGCUCAUUGUCGUGGAAACAGAGAGUGUAUUCUCAAUGUGCUGUCAAGGUUGCUUUCAUCAACAGGAGCAUUUGCUGAGAUUAGAACAAUUCUGUUAUUGUUAGUAUGGUUAAACCACAAUGAUUGCCAAAUGAAACUGCAGGGCUCACAAAUGAUGAGGGGGUGUGGUGGCAUAGCAGGUUUGCCUGGAUCCUGCUCUCUGGUGGGUCCGGGGUUUGAGUCCCGCUUGGGGUGCCUUGCGAUGGACUGGCGUUGCGUCCAGGGUGUGUUUCCUUCCCCUCCAGCCUUGUGCCCUGUGUUGCCGGGUUAGGCUCCAGUUUGUUGCGACCCCGCUUGGGACGAGCAGUUUCAGACAAUGUCUGGGUUCACAAAUGUAUUUGUUUUACAAAAAAAAACUGCGUAUUCAUAUAUCUGGAGUUUAGCAAGUCACAUUUAAUGCAGUGGAAGUCAUGUCGGUUUAAAAUGAAGGUCCUUCUGCUGCAGCUGAAAUGGAAUUUCAUGACUUCACACCCCAUUUUCAGGCAUAGAGUUGCACAAUUAAUGGCAGCGAGCUGUUAUUAUUUACCAAGGCUGAUAAUUAGGAGGGAGGUACAAGUGGAUUACAGUAGGUAAUUGCACGCUUUUACUCUCGCUAUUCAGCUGUGGAGCACCGUGCCGCCCCCACUGUCAAACCACUGAGUGCAGCGCUGACCCCUGUUGCCGAAAAUUAAUUCUGAAGUAUUUAUCAGACUGAAUGCUUCCCUGAAAACAUCAUCAUUUUUGUAAACUGAAGUUUGUGUUUUUUUCAGCAUUUAAUUCUCUUACAAUAGCAGACCUUUUGAACACAUUUCUUUAUUUUUUUUCUGGUUUGCAAUAACUUCUUCUGUGUCUUUGUAACCAUGAGACCAUGAGCUGAGAUCCUAAAAGCUAUUAUGUGACAUUCAAGCUGUGCAAAUGCUUUAGAAGGUUUAUAAGGUUUUUAAUAGGUAUUUUAAGUGUCACUCAGUAUGGUGAUAUUGUGUUGUAUUGAUGCUGUAGCUUAGAUAUCUAGAACAUAUUGAAAUUUGAGAGUUGUGUUCCAAAUAAUAAUUACUAAUAAAUUUUGGAUGUCUAGUUCUUUUAUGAUGGCA